GUCCUACGGCGGAGAACAGCCCCCGUGCCACAGGAGCUGGCCUCGGAGGAGCUACCAAAGCUAUCCCCCAGGGUGCUGGAGGAGGGCUGCUGGCCUCAGCCUGGGUUCUGUCCUGCAUCCUGGGGUCCCCAGCCCUCCCGGGGGGCAGGUGAGGGAUGCCAAGCUGCUUUGGGGUGAGGCCGGCACAAGCCUGCUCCUUGCAUUGCAUCCCUUUCAAGGGUGGGCCUGAUUCCAGCUGUGCUGGUGGGCUCAUCCCUGGGGAGACCCCUGCCUUGCUUUUACCCUCCACUAUCCUGGGAGAUGGAUGACAGCCUCUGGCAGCAUCUGGGUGCAGGCACUGGAAGGAGGCACUACCGGCAGGACAGGGGAGGAGGAGGAAGAAGAAGAAGAGGAGGAGAAAGAUGCUGGGGAACAGCCACGGCAGCAAGGGCUGCCCAAGCAGCCCAAGCAUGACGCUCUUCAAAGUUUCUCAAGAGGCCUCAGCCGCUCUUUCAAGGUGCAAGCACCCUAGAGCCGGGAUGGCAUGGAGCUGGUCCCAGCACGGCCCGCACACUGGGAUCACUUGGUGUGACCACAGUCACACUCUGGGUUUCUUCAUUUGCCUGGGUAAGCUCGCAGGAUGCUAAUAUCCCAUGCAGGACAGUGUGGGCAAGCUGCAAAGCCCUGCUCAGCUGUGGUGACUCACUCAGGUUCCCCAUGGGAAAGUCAUCGCUCCUGGCAGGCUCCAACAGCCCAGAGGCAAAUCGUUACUUGGCAGGUAAGCAAUGCUGUUGCAUCUUUAGAUGCAACUGUUAUCUCACAAAUCCUUGCAAAACCUGACCAGUGCAGCCCAAAUGUAUGCUGGCUCAUGUGUGGGGUCUUUUGCUGUCAGUGAAGGCACUGCAGGUCACAGGGAGCUGGCUUUGGGCUGGAGCAGUAACAGGCAAUUCUGUGCUGAGCAUUGUCCAGAAGAAUAAAACAAUGCCUUGUUUGUAAGGGGUGCACACACUCCAGAGCUCCUUUCCUCCCUAGGUAGAAGAUGCACAAGGUCCACCCAAGCAAUCCCUUGGAAAUGGAGCUUUGAUCUAUCCAGGCAGAAGCAUCAGAAGAGGAAAAGUGUUUCUGUAACCUGGGUGUCCUUGGUCAACCUCCCCCUGUCCUGUUAUCUCCUCAUUAGAAAAGAAGGGACAAGAACAAAAACCGUAUAUGGAGGCCAAGCAAAUAUAGAUGUGAAGUGCACUUCAAACAGCUCCAUCCUUUCAACAAACUUUUUAUUAGCAUUCUCUCCUCCCCAGCACAAACUCUUUUAAAUCAUUAGUGAAAAGCCACUCUUUAGAAAGCAAGGACACUGCUCAGGGUACGUGUGGUAGGCAUUUCCCAGGAGAAGCCAGUGAGCGCUAGCCCAAGGUCUUCCGAACUUGACUGCAACGCAGCACGAGCAGCAGCUCCAAGGACUAGCACGGCGCUGAGCAGUGUGGCAGUCUGUGGGCAGAGCGCAGGGGUAUGGUGGGCCUGUGACAGCAUGCCCAGGCUGCUGAAGAUGCCAGUGACCCUUCUGCCAGGCACCCCAGCCCAAAACUGGAGUCACUCUGGAUUUCACUGGAGCGGAAUCGGACAGGAAGCAUUAACAACAUUUUGGAGCCAGCUUUAGCCAAUUAUCCUGGCCGCAGCCCAUAUUUUUUGGCUGUAUCACUGCUCAUGUUAGUGCCCCUGCAGUGCUGGCAUGCCGGGCGUGGAGGAGGCGACCUGCCAGCGACCUGCUAGCGACCUCCCGAGAAAAAUGCACGGCACAAAGCAGCUUCUGCGCAACUGCCACCUGACGUUACGGGGGCACAGCGAGCUUUGUAACGCUUGGCAGGUUUUCCCAAGCAGAUCUCAAAGCUGUUUGCCAGCAUGAGCAAGUUCAGGCAUGUUAGAGAAGACCUUCAGACUCAGAGGACAAAUGAGAUGCGUGGAUGAGUUUAAACCACUGGGGUAAGACCAGGGUUUUGAAAUCCCCAGGCUCGUGCCUUGACACUACGCCUGGGCUGUGGCCCAGACAGUCCAGCUGCCAGCCUGGCAUUGAUACCGGGCCCCAUGACGGUCCUGCUGAUAUCACUUCUUGUUAGAUAUUGGCUUCAAAACCAAAGCAGGAGGUGUCGCAUCCUCCUCAAAAAUCCACCCUCCGAUCCAUCUUGGAGCUGGGCGCAGAACAGCUGUUCAGUGAGACACCACGACUCAUGGUGUUGGCAGGACGGUGUAUUUAUGUCACGAGAUGAGAUCAGCCACACGGAGUAGGUCGGUCUGUCUGGAAAGAGUCUGAGUCAAGCGUGUCCUAUUAAAUUAGGGCUGGAUUUUCAAAGUAGCUCAGCUCCCAUUUAGGCUCUGUAACAAACAGGCAGAUAUUCAAAAGGAGUUGGACGUGUUGGGUCAUACUGGCUGCUGAGCUGAAGUCCUUUAAUAUCUAGCCAAAACCGUCACCGUGCCUGUUGCUACAGGCAGAGCCCUUCUGAAAACCAGCUCCACUGUGGGCUCCACGUCCUGGGAAACUCGGCUCAUCUCUGCUCUCCCACAUAUUGCACUGCAGUAGGUGACGAAACUGCAAUAACCACUGCAUCCUUAUACAUGCUGGGGAGCAGCUCCCUGUCAAAGCACAGCUCUGGCAGCUUUGCCCUUUGAUCAGCUCAGCAGCAUGGGUCAGGAGAGCUGAGUGUGAAGGUUUCCUUGCCUUUUGUUCUGUGGAAUUAGCAGAGUUAAUCAGAGUGACAGCGACUUCUGCCUCAGCGUAGAAGAAAGGUCAGUGGCUCAG
This is a long non-coding RNA of Aquila chrysaetos chrysaetos, 2767 nucleotides long. RefSeq lists it as uncharacterized. The record is from RefSeq and is a predicted model, not a curated record. The transcript has 2 exons. Lineage: Eukaryota; Metazoa; Chordata; Aves; Accipitriformes; Accipitridae.